Molecule: ribosomal RNA, 301 nt
Filed under: uncultured bacterium
Lineage: Bacteria
Description: partial 16S ribosomal RNA
Rfam family: Bacterial small subunit ribosomal RNA
Source: RNAcentral
CAGCCGCCACGGUAAUACGUAGGUCCCGAGCGUUGUCCGGAUUUAUUGGGCGUAAAGCGAGCGCAGGCGGUUUGAUAAGUCUGAAGUUAAAGGCUGUGGUUCAACCAUAGUUCGCUUUGGAAACUGUCAAACUUGAGUGCAGAAGGGGAGAGUGGAAUUCCAUGUGUAGCGGUGAAAUGCGUAGAUAUAUGGAGGAACACCGGUGGCGAAAGCGGCUCUCUGGUCUGUAACUGACGCUGAGGCUCGAGAGCGUGGGGAGCGAACAGGAUUAGAUACCCCAGUAGUCCCUGUCUCUUAUACA